GUGGCUAUAGUUUAAUGGUAAAACUCCGCUCUGUGGAAGCGGUAUCGAGGGUUCGAUUCCCUCUAGCCACCCA
Molecule: transfer RNA, 73 nt
Filed under: Candidatus Portnoybacteria bacterium RIFCSPHIGHO2_01_FULL_40_12b
Lineage: Bacteria; Candidatus Portnoyibacteriota
Also listed under: 4 other names
Description: tRNA-His
Rfam family: tRNA
About the family: Transfer RNA (tRNA) molecules are approximately 80 nucleotides in length. Their secondary structure includes four short double-helical elements and three loops (D, anti-codon, and T loops). Further hydrogen bonds mediate the characteristic L-shaped molecular structure. tRNAs have two regions of fundamental functional importance: the anti-codon, which is responsible for specific mRNA codon recognition, and the 3' end, to which the tRNAs corresponding amino acid is attached (by aminoacyl-tRNA synthetases). tRNAs cope with the degeneracy of the genetic code in two manners: having more than one tRNA (with a specific anti-codon) for a particular amino acid; and 'wobble' base-pairing, i.e. permitting non-standard base-pairing at the 3rd anti-codon position.
Source: RNAcentral